RNAcentral lists this ribosomal RNA (492 nucleotides) under uncultured bacterium. Its description in RNAcentral is "partial 16S ribosomal RNA". It matches the Rfam family "Bacterial small subunit ribosomal RNA", at positions 29 to 507 of the family's 1533-position model. The record is from RNAcentral.
AGUGAACGCUGGCGGUAGGCCUAACACAUGCAAGUCGAACGGCAGCACAGUAAGAGCUUGCUCUUACGGGUGGCGAGUGGCGGACGGGUGAGGAAUACAUCGGAAUCUACUUUUUCGUGGGGGAUAACGUAGGGAAACUUACGCUAAUACCGCAUACGACCUACGGGUGAAAGCAGGGGAGCUUCGGACCUUUCGCGAUUGAAUGAGCCGAUGUCGGAUUAGCUAGUUGGCGUGGUAAAGGCCCACCAAGGCGACGAUCCGUAGCUGGUCUGAGAGGAUGAUCAGCCACACUGGAACUGAGACACGGUCCAGACUCCUACGGGAGGCAGCAGUGGGGAAUAUUGGACAAUGGGCGCAAGCCUGACGCAGCAAUGCCGCGUGGGUGAAGAAGGCCUUCGGGUUGUAAAGCUCUUUUGUUGGGAAAGAAAAAAAGCAGGUUAAUCCCCCGAUGUUCUGACGGUACCCAAAGAAUAAGCACCGGCUAACUUCGUG